Molecule: transfer RNA, 71 nt
Filed under: Leptospiraceae bacterium
Lineage: Bacteria; Pseudomonadati; Spirochaetota; Leptospiria; Leptospirales; Leptospiraceae
Description: tRNA-Trp
Rfam family: tRNA
About the family: Transfer RNA (tRNA) molecules are approximately 80 nucleotides in length. Their secondary structure includes four short double-helical elements and three loops (D, anti-codon, and T loops).
Source: RNAcentral
AGGCCUGUAGUUUAAUGGUAGAACGAGGAUCUCCAAAGUCCUUGGUGAUGGUUCAAUUCCUUCCAGGCCUG